AACGAACGCUGGCGGCAUGCCUAACACAUGCAAGUCGAACGAGACCUUCGGGUCUAGUGGCGCACGGGUGCGUAACGCGUGGGAACCUGCCCUUAGGUUCGGAAUAACUCCCCGAAAGGGGUGCUAAUACCGGAUAAUGUCUUCGGACCGAAGAUUUAUCGCCUUUGGAUGGGCCCGCGUUGGAUUAGCUAGUUGGUAGGGUAAAAGCCUACCAAGGCGACGAUCCAUAGCUGGUCUGAGAGGAUGAUCAGCCACACUGGGACUGAGACACGGCCCAGACUCCUACGGGAGGCAGCAGUGGGGAAUAUUGGACCAUGGGCGAAAGCCUGAUCCAGCAAGGCCGCGUGAGUGAUGAAGGCCUUAGGGUUGUAAAGCUCUUUUAACCGGGAUGAUAAUGACAGUACCGGGAGAAUAAGCGCCGGCUAACUCCGUG
Molecule: ribosomal RNA, 433 nt
Filed under: uncultured bacterium
Lineage: Bacteria
Description: partial 16S ribosomal RNA
Rfam family: Bacterial small subunit ribosomal RNA
Source: RNAcentral